AAUGUGUUCCCAUCUCAACCCAUUACUCAGACAAGCAUACUACCCUGAGGCAAAAACUUUACGAAAUUAAACGUUCCUUUUAACCUGCACUCCUGUUUCUACGUUCUUUUCUAUUUCCUUUUUUAAAAAAAAAUUCUGGUUGGGCGCGGUGGCUCACGCCUGUAAUUCCAGAACUUUGGGAGGCCAAGACAGGCGGAUCACUUGAGGCCAGGAGUUCAAGACCAGCCUGGGCAUCAUGGCAAAACCCUAUCUCUACUAAAAAUACAAAAAAAAAAAAAAAAUAGCCAGAUGUGGUGGCAGGUGCCUGUAACGCCAGCUACUUGACAGGCCGAGGUAGGAGAAUCGUUUGAACCCAGGAGGUGGAGGUUGCAGUGAGCCGAGAUUGUGCCACUGCACUCCAGCCUGGGCAGAGUAGUAGAAUGAGACUGUCUCUAAAACAAACAAACGAGUAUGACUAUGAUCCCUUAAAUUGAUUUCAUGGCCCACGAAUGGAUCUCAACCUACAAUCGGAAAAAUCCACUGCUCUGGAGGAGUUGAUUCCGUACUCUGCUGGAUCUUCAAUCCCUGCCCGCUGGAAAUUGGCUGCAAUUUUCCUGGUGCUGCGAUCCUGGCAUGCUGUGUAGCUGCAGCCCAGGAAGAAAAGCCAGUGUGACCCAGGAGUUAAAGCCCUCAAGACAGCUCGAAGCUGGGUGAAUUCCAUCCAGCUCCAUGGCUAAUAGCUAGCUGCGUGACCUUGUGCCAAAUUCCUUCACCUGCCCACACCUUCACCUCCCUGUCUGUACAAGGACAUAAUUGUACCCUGA
RNAcentral lists this long non-coding RNA (803 nucleotides) under Macaca mulatta (Rhesus monkey). RNAcentral describes it as "lncRNA (ENSMMUG00000046041.2)". Lineage: Eukaryota; Metazoa; Chordata; Mammalia; Primates; Cercopithecidae. The record is from RNAcentral.